AUACGGAGGGUCCGAGCGUUAAUCGGAAUUACUGGGCGUAAAGCGCGCGUAGGCGGCUAUAUAAGUCAGAUGUGAAAUCCCUGGGCUCAACCUAGGAACUGCAUUUGAAACUGUAUGGCUAGAGUAUGGUAGAGGUGAGUGGAAUUUCAGGUGUAGCGGUGAAAUGCGUAGAGAUCUGAAGGAACAUCAGUGGCGAAGGCGACUCACUGGGCCAUUACUGACGCUGAGGUGCGAAAGCGUGGGUAGCAAACAGGAUUAGAAACCCUAGUAGUCC
This 274-nucleotide ribosomal RNA is filed under the name uncultured bacterium. RNAcentral's name for it is "partial 16S ribosomal RNA". It matches the Rfam family "Bacterial small subunit ribosomal RNA", at positions 523 to 796 of the family's 1533-position model. The record is from RNAcentral.